CUGGAUUGAAAAGACAGAUAAAGGAACAACCCACCGGAAGGGCAUACCUCAAGGGGCACCAAUCUCCCCCGGCAAAGAUCUAUCUGCGCGAAGCCGACCUAUGGAUAGAAAGAAAGAUGCAGGAAAGGCAAAUGAAAGAAGAAAGCAAAAUUCGCUUUGGGAGUGUGAGAUAGGCAGACGGGGAGUACGCAGCCGAACAACCGCUGGGGUUUCCAGCAGUGAUAGCUGAACUAAUCAGAUGGGCCGCCCCAAACCUUACGCUGACAUUUUAAUCGGAAAUCAACAUCGGGUCCCGGCUAUCCGAAAAACGCAGACUGAAGCGGAAGAUCACAAAAUGCAACACAACAAGGGGGUCGUUAGACCGUAGCUUGCGCGAAGGAAGAAGCUAAUCAAUCAGAAUUGAGACAGGGAGGAGAGGCGAAAGAGAGAUUUUCGAGCCUGCAAGCAGCAAGCAACAACGGCUUUUCAGCCGUUGCGCGCUAGCUUGUAGUUUAGGGGUAUAGUAGGGGUAGGAUAGAAAGAAAGAUGCAGGAAAG
Molecule: long non-coding RNA, 536 nt
Filed under: Nicotiana benthamiana
Lineage: Eukaryota; Viridiplantae; Streptophyta; Magnoliopsida; Solanales; Solanaceae
Description: long non-coding RNA (NBEN_LNC019141)
Source: RNAcentral